Molecule: long non-coding RNA, 201 nt
Filed under: Gorilla gorilla gorilla (western lowland gorilla)
Lineage: Eukaryota; Metazoa; Chordata; Mammalia; Primates; Hominidae
Description: lncRNA (ENSGGOG00000044574.1)
Source: RNAcentral
CAUCAAACCUCCUGUUGGGCCAUUUCCGAGAACUCCCAUCAGUUUCUGUAUAGUGUAAAAGGCUUCACUUGAUGUCAAAGAACAUGAAGUGAAGAAAUACAUGAGAAUUUUCAGGAAGUUGAACAAAAACACCGACUCCAUCUUUUGGGAGCUUCAGUGAAGAAAGCGUAAAUAAGACUGUGAUGAAGUUUGCUAGUUGGC